Molecule: unclassified non-coding RNA, 494 nt
Filed under: Hevea brasiliensis (rubber tree)
Lineage: Eukaryota; Viridiplantae; Streptophyta; Magnoliopsida; Malpighiales; Euphorbiaceae
Source: RNAcentral
GGGGCAUUGACUAUAAUGAUGCUGAACAAAUGGAAGGAUAAGAAUGCUUUCAGUUUUUCAUUAUCCUCAGCAAAUUAAUAUCCAUCCUCAUUCCCUUGGAAAUACAAAAGACAAGUAAGGUUGGUACAAGUUUUAAUUGGCAUGCCAGGAAACCAACAGUAACAUCUCAUGCAACGGAAACAUUAUGCAUCACAUCAGUCGUGGAGAGUUCCUAGAACAUCCUCAUCUCGGUACAGAUGAUAAUCUUUAUCACCAAGUUUCACUUCAGUGCCUCCAUAAUUGGGCAAAAGAACAGUGUCUCCUUCCUUUACAGUAACAGGAAUAAGCUUUCCAUCUUGAUCCCUAGCUCCAGGACCCACCGCAACCACUUUUCCAGAGUUCAACUGGGGGGUUUUCUCAGGAAGAAGAAUUCCAGAGUUGGUUUUGGAAGGAGGGACGAUUUUCUCAACCAAAAUGCGAUUCAGCGAAGGAAUCAAACGCCUUGCCAUCUUCAG